UUUAACGGCCGCGGUAUUUUGACCGUGCGAAGGUAGCGUAAUCACUUGUCUUUUAAAUGAAGACCAGUAUGAAUGGCAUAACGAGGGCUAAGCUGUCUCCUUUUUCCAGUCAAUGAAAUUGAUCUGCCCGUGCAGAAGCGGGCAUACAAACACAAGACGAGAAGACCCUAUGGAGCUUUAGACACAAGACAGCCCACACAACAUCCUAUUACCCCAAUAAAGGAAACCAAUUGGCCCUGUCUAUUGUCUUUGGUUGGGGCGACCGCGGAGAAACAAAAAACCCCCGCGUGGAAUGGGACCAAACCCUUAAAGCCAGAGCCACAGCUCUAAUCAGCAGAACUUCUGACCAAUAAGAUCCGGCAAGCCGAUCGACGGACCGAGUUACCCUAGGGAUAACAGCGCAAUCCUCUUCUAGAGCCCCUAUCGACAAGAGGGUUUACGACCUCGAUGUUGGAUCAGGACAUCCUAAUGGUGCAGCCGCUAUUAAGGGUUCGUUUGUUCAACGAUUAAAGUCCU
RNAcentral lists this ribosomal RNA (516 nucleotides) under Eleotridae sp. RDR0708. Its description in RNAcentral is "partial large subunit ribosomal RNA". It matches the Rfam family "Bacterial large subunit ribosomal RNA", at positions 1923 to 2597 of the family's 2925-position model. The record is from RNAcentral. Lineage: Eukaryota; Metazoa; Chordata; Actinopteri; Gobiiformes; Eleotridae.